This 322-nucleotide ribosomal RNA is filed under the name uncultured Pseudomonas sp. Its description in RNAcentral is "bacterial SSU rRNA". It matches the Rfam family "Bacterial small subunit ribosomal RNA", at positions 1061 to 1382 of the family's 1533-position model. Lineage: Bacteria; Pseudomonadati; Pseudomonadota; Gammaproteobacteria; Pseudomonadales; Pseudomonadaceae. The record is from RNAcentral.
CGUGUCGUGGGAUGUUGGGUUAAGUCCCGUAACGAGCGCAACCCUUGUCCUUAGUUACCAGCACGUUAUGGUGGGCACUCUAAGGAGACUGCCGGUGACAAACCGGAGGAAGGUGGGGAUGACGUCAAGUCAUCAUGGCCCUUACGGCCUGGGCUACACACGUGCUACAAUGGUCGGUACAAAGGGUUGCCAAGCCGCGAGGUGGAGCUAAUCCCAUAAAACCGAUCGUAGUCCGGAUCGCAGUCUGCAACUCGACUGCGUGAAGUCGGAAUCGCUAGUAAUCGUGAAUCAGAAUGUCACGGUGAAUACGUUCCCGGGCCUU